UGAGGAAUAUUGGUCAAUGGACGCAAGUCUGAACCAGCCAAGUAGCGUGCAGGAUGACGGCCCUAUGGGUUGUAAACUGCUUUUGUUUGGGAAUAAUCGACAUUACGUGUAAUGUUUUGCAUGUACCAUUCGAAUAAGGACCGGCUAAUUCCGUGCCAGCAGCCGCGGUAAUACGGUAGGUCCGGGCGUUAUCCGGAUUUAUUGGGUUUAAAGGGAGCGUAGGCUGUCUAUUAAGCGUGUUGUGAAAUAUACCGGCUCAACCGGUGGCUUGCAGCGCGAACUGGUCGACUUGAGUAUGCAGGAAGUAGGCGGAAUUCAUGGUGUAGCGGUGAAAUGCUUAGAUAUCAUGACGAACUCCGAUUGCGCAGGCAGCUUACUGUAGCAUAACUGACGCUGAUGCUCGAAAGUGCGGGUAUCAAACAGG
Molecule: ribosomal RNA, 424 nt
Filed under: Verrucomicrobiota bacterium
Lineage: Bacteria; Pseudomonadati; Verrucomicrobiota
Description: Verrucomicrobia bacterium partial 16S ribosomal RNA
Rfam family: Bacterial small subunit ribosomal RNA
Source: RNAcentral